CCGACGGUGAGAGACGAAAGCUGGGGCACGAACCGGAUUAGAUACCCGGGUAGUCCCAGCCGUAAACGAUGCUCGCUAGGUGUCUGGGAUGGUGCGACCGUUUCAGGUGCCGCAGGGAAGCCGUGAAGCGAGCCACCUGGGAAGUACGGCCGCAAGGCUGAAACUUAAAGGAAUUGGCGGGGGAGCACUACAACGGGUGGAGCCUGCGGUUUAAUUGGACUCAACGCCGGAAAACUCACCUGGGGCG
Molecule: ribosomal RNA, 247 nt
Filed under: uncultured archaeon
Lineage: Archaea
Description: partial 16S ribosomal RNA
Rfam family: Archaeal small subunit ribosomal RNA
Source: RNAcentral